AAAGAGUUAACGGCUCUGAUUAUUCCCUAGAACAGUACCAUCAAGUACCGUCUACAUCCAAUUCCACCCGUUGAUGGAAACCUCCAGAAAAUACCCAAUGCCAACAGCCACCUGUCCUAUUUACUCUCCAGUAGAAUAAGGAAAAAAACCCAAAAUCAAAGAGAGGUGAGAGGGAGGAAGAAAUUUUCCUUUAUUUGCUACAAUUUUGAAUCGAUCCUGCACCCUC
This 226-nucleotide long non-coding RNA is filed under the name Manihot esculenta (cassava). Its description in RNAcentral is "long non-coding RNA (MESC_LNC009357)". The record is from RNAcentral. Lineage: Eukaryota; Viridiplantae; Streptophyta; Magnoliopsida; Malpighiales; Euphorbiaceae.